RNAcentral lists this ribosomal RNA (494 nucleotides) under uncultured bacterium. Its description in RNAcentral is "partial 16S ribosomal RNA". It matches the Rfam family "Bacterial small subunit ribosomal RNA", at positions 28 to 507 of the family's 1533-position model. The record is from RNAcentral.
GACGAACGAGGGCGGAGGGAGGAAAAAAGGAAAGUGGAAAGGACAGGCCUGCUUUCCCGGGUGUAUUGCGGGUACUCGAGUGGCGAACGGGUGAGUAACACGUGAGUGAUCUGCCCCCAACUUGGGUAUAAGCCUGGGAAACUGGGUCUAAUUCCCGAUAGGACUGCAGGGUGGUGCCUGUGGUGGAAAACGAUUUUCUAGUGGUUGGGGAUGAGCUCGCGGCCUAUCAGCUUGUUGGUGGGGUAAUGGCCGACCAAGGCGGCGACGGGUAGCCGGCCUGGGCCUGUGGACGGCCACAUUGGGACUGAGAUACGGCCCAGACUCCUACGGGAGGCAGCAGUGGCUGAGCGUGCACAAUGGGCGGAAGCCUGAUGCAGCGACGCCGCGGUGGGGAUGACGGCCUUCGUGUUCUCCCCUCAGUUGGACCGCGAGGAAGCCUACUUCUGUGAAGGGUGGUGACGGUAGUGGUAGCCGAAGACCCGUCUCCCUACGUG